RNAcentral lists this ribosomal RNA (668 nucleotides) under Salmonella enterica. RNAcentral describes it as "partial 16S ribosomal RNA". It matches the Rfam family "Bacterial small subunit ribosomal RNA", at positions 865 to 1533 of the family's 1533-position model. Lineage: Bacteria; Pseudomonadati; Pseudomonadota; Gammaproteobacteria; Enterobacterales; Enterobacteriaceae. RNAcentral also lists the same sequence under 2 other names. The record is from RNAcentral.
UAGACCGCCUGGGGAGUACGGCCGCAAGGUUAAAACUCAAAUGAAUUGACGGGGGCCCGCACAAGCGGUGGAGCAUGUGGUUUAAUUCGAUGCAACGCGAAGAACCUUACCUGGUCUUGACAUCCACGGAAGUUUUCAGAGAUGAGAAUGUGCCUUCGGGAACCGUGAGACAGGUGCUGCAUGGCUGUCGUCAGCUCGUGUUGUGAAAUGUUGGGUUAAGUCCCGCAACGAGCGCAACCCUUAUCCUUUGUUGCCAGCGAUUCGGUCGGGAACUCAAAGGAGACUGCCAGUGAUAAACUGGAGGAAGGUGGGGAUGACGUCAAGUCAUCAUGGCCCUUACGACCAGGGCUACACACGUGCUACAAUGGCGCAUACAAAGAGAAGCGACCUCGCGAGAGCAAGCGGACCUCAUAAAGUGCGUCGUAGUCCGGAUUGGAGUCUGCAACUCGACUCCAUGAAGUCGGAAUCGCUAGUAAUCGUGGAUCAGAAUGCCACGGUGAAUACGUUCCCGGGCCUUGUACACACCGCCCGUCACACCAUGGGAGUGGGUUGCAAAAGAAGUAGGUAGCUUAACCUUCGGGAGGGCGCUUACCACUUUGUGAUUCAUGACUGGGGUGAAGUCGUAACAAGGUAACCGUAGGGGAACCUGCGGUUGGAUCACCUCCUUA